RNAcentral lists this ribosomal RNA (253 nucleotides) under uncultured bacterium. Its description in RNAcentral is "partial 16S ribosomal RNA". It matches the Rfam family "Bacterial small subunit ribosomal RNA", at positions 524 to 776 of the family's 1533-position model. The record is from RNAcentral.
CACGUAGGGCGCAAGCGUUGUCCGGAAUUAUUGGGCGUAAAGAGCUCGUAGGCGGUCUGUUAUGUCUGCUGUGAAAACCCGGGGCUUAACCCUGGGCUUGCAGUGGAUACGGGCAGACUAGAGGCAGGUAGGGGAGAAUGGAAUUCCCGGUGUAGCGGUGAAAUGCGCAGAUAUCGGGAGGAACACCGGUGGCGAAGGCGGUUCUCUGGGCCUGACCUGACGCUGAGGAGCGAAAGCGUGGGGAGCGAACAGG